Molecule: ribosomal RNA, 253 nt
Filed under: uncultured bacterium
Lineage: Bacteria
Description: partial 16S ribosomal RNA
Rfam family: Bacterial small subunit ribosomal RNA
Source: RNAcentral
UACAGAGGGGGCAAGCGUUGUUCGGAAUUACUGGGCGUAAAGGGCGCGUAGGCGGCCUGUUAAGUCGAACGUGAAAUCCCUGGGCUCAACCCAGGAACUGCGUCCGAUACUGGCAGGCUUGAAUCCGGGAGAGGGAUGUGGAAUUCCUGGUGUAGCGGUGAAAUGCGUAGAUAUCAGGAGGAACACCGGUGGCGAAGGCGGCUUUCUGGACAGAUACCGACGCUGAGGCACGAAAGCUAGGGGAGCAAACAGG